CCCUUAGAUGUUCUGGGCCGCACGCGUGCUACACUGAUGCAUUCAACGAGUCUAAAACCUGGUCUGAUAGGGCUGGGUAAUCUUUUGAAAGUGCAUCGUGAUUGGGAUAGAUGAUUGCAAAUCUUCAUCUUCAACGAGGAAUGCCUAGUAAACGCAAGUCAUCAGCUUGCAUUGAUUACGUCCCUGCCCUUUGUACACACCGCCCGUCGCUCCUACCGAUUGAAUGAUCCGAUGAAUACCAUGGAUUGAGAGUACGAAUAGGUUCGCUUAUUUCUGCUGCUCGAGAAGUGGAGUAAAUCUUAUCAUUUAGAGGAAGGAGAAGUCGUAACA
RNAcentral lists this ribosomal RNA (330 nucleotides) under uncultured eukaryote. RNAcentral's name for it is "partial 18S ribosomal RNA". It matches the Rfam family "Eukaryotic small subunit ribosomal RNA", at positions 1470 to 1796 of the family's 1831-position model. The record is from RNAcentral.